AACAAGGUGGAAGAACUAACAUUUCCAGCUAUUAUAUUAAUCACUUUGUCAUUAUUAAAUAGUAUUAAAAUACAAUAUUUCAUUAUUAAAUACAUUUGAUAUAAAAUACAAUAUUUUUACAUAAAUUAAGAGCCUUUGAUGAAAUUGAUAUAAAAUCAACAAAGUAUGUCUAUUAAAUAUAGUAUAUUAUAAAAUAAUUUAUAUUUUAUAAUAUACUAUAUUUAAUAUAAUAUUAUGUAUGGCAUGGACCCCUCUUGCUUUAAAAACCACACAGACACUCAUUCACGAUUUUCUCAUUUGUAAUUGAAAGAUACAAGACAUCACUCACAGUUUUUGUAGAUUUGUACAACUAACGGUACAGUUUUUCUCGCAUAGCCUUUCGCCUGUCUUUGUUUAUACUCUGUAUAUAAUUAAAUCUCGUAUAUAAAACUAUAAAAUGUCCCUUCGGCUUCGGCGAUUUCAAUCUUUAAAUAAUCCAAUGUCCAAUUUUGCGCAGCUUUUUAAUACAUUGUGACACAACAUCCAACAUUUUUUAUAUUAAAAAUAAAAUUUCCAUUGAUAGACAGCAGAUUUCAACAACCAAAACGACUCUUCGUCUUCUUUGAAGAGUUAAUACACUCCUAUCUAUUCAUAUUGUCAGCCAUAUUUAU
RNAcentral lists this long non-coding RNA (650 nucleotides) under Paramuricea clavata. Lineage: Eukaryota; Metazoa; Cnidaria; Anthozoa; Malacalcyonacea; Plexauridae. The record is from RNAcentral.